RNAcentral lists this ribosomal RNA (253 nucleotides) under uncultured bacterium. RNAcentral's name for it is "partial 16S ribosomal RNA". It matches the Rfam family "Bacterial small subunit ribosomal RNA", at positions 524 to 776 of the family's 1533-position model. The record is from RNAcentral.
UACGUAGGGGGCAAGCGUUAUCCGGAUUUACUGGGUGUAAAGGGAGCGUAGACGGUUAUGCAAGUCAGAAGUGAAAGCCCAAAGCUCAACUUCGGGACUGCUUUUGAAACUGUGUAACUAGAGUGCAGGAGGGGUAAGCGGAAUUCCUAGUGUAGCGGUGAAAUGCGUAGAUGUUAAGAGGAACACCGGCGGCGAAGGCGGCUUACUGGACUGUAACUGACGUUGAGGCUCGAAAGCGUGGGGAGCAAACAGG